RNAcentral lists this ribosomal RNA (1189 nucleotides) under uncultured bacterium. RNAcentral's name for it is "bacterial SSU rRNA". The stretch from base 1 to 998 matches the Rfam family "Bacterial small subunit ribosomal RNA", at positions 519 to 1533 of the family's 1533-position model. The record is from RNAcentral.
GGUGAGGCUCGUAGGGCAGCGAUUCCGGAUUACUGGGUGUAAGGGNGCGUACGCGGACUCUAUAAGAGAGAUGUGAAAUCUAUGGGCUCAACCCAUAGCCCUUAUUUGAAACUGCAGAGCUUGAGUGAAGUAGAGGCAGGCGGAAUUCCCCGUGUAGCGGUGAAAUGCGUAGAGAUGGGGAGGAACACCAGUGGCGAAGGCGGCCUGCUGGGCUUUAACUGACGCUGAGGCACGAAAGCGUGGGUAGCAAACAGGAUUAGAUACCCUGGUAGUCCACGCUGUAAACGAUGAUUACUAGGUGUGGGGGGUCUGACCCCUUCCGUGCCGGAGUUAACACAAUAAGUAAUCCACCUGGGGAGUACGGCCGCAAGGUUGAAACUCGAAGGAAUUGACGGGGGCCCGCACAAGCAGUGGAGUAUGUGGUUUAAUUCGAAGCAACGCGAAGAACCUUACCAGGUCUUGACAUCCUACUAACGAGAUAGAGAUAUGUUAGGUGCCCUUCGGGGAAAGUAGAGACAGGUGGUGCAUGGUUGUCGUCAGCUCGUGUCGUGAGAUGUUGGGUUAAGUCCCGCAACGAGCGCAACCCUUGCUAUUAGUUGCUACGCAAGAGCACUCUAAUAGGACUGCCGUUGACAAAACGGAGGAAGGUGGGGACGACGUCAAAUCAUCAUGCCCCUUAUGACCUGGGCUACACACGUACUACAAUGGACAUAAACAGAGGGAAGCAAUACAGCGAUGUGGAGCAAACCCCUAAAAAUGUUCUCAGUUCAGAUUGCAGGCUGCAACCCGCCUGUAUGAAGAUGGAAUUGCUAGUAAUCGCAGAUCAGCAUGCUGCGGUGAAUACGUUCCCGGGCCUUGUACACACCGCCCGUCACACCAUGGGAGCCGGUAAUACCCGAAGUCAGUAGUCUAACCGCAAGGAGGACGCUGCCGAAGGUAGGAUUGGCGACUGGGCCAAGAAGGUAACAAGUUAUCCGUAAGGCCGGAUUCGUUUAAACUUGGAGGACUAGUCCCUUUAGGGGAGGGUAAUUCUUGAGCUUGGGGUAACAUUGGGCAUAGAUUGUUCCUGGGGAAAAAUUUUUAACCGCACACAAAUUUCCCCCCAAAAAAAAAGCGGCCUUGCCCCCUUUUAUUCCCCCCCCGCCCAAGAAAAUUAAACCCCUCCCCAAAAGGGGAACACAGUUCUUGG